UGAUUAGAUGAACCUUUGUUGGCAAAGUACUGUCUCUGCUUUUGAAUAUGCUAUCUAGGUUCGUCAUAACUUUCCUUCCAAGGAGUAAGCAUCUUUUGAUUUCAUGGCUGCAGUCACCAUCUGCAGUGAUUCUUAGCCCCCCAAAAUAAAGUCUCUCACUGCUUCCACUGUUUUCACAUCUGUUUCCCAUGAAGUGAUGGAACCUGAUGCCAUGAUCUUAGUUUUUGAAUAUUGCACUUUAAGCCAACGUUUUCACUCUCCUCUUUAACUUUCAUCAAGAGGCUCUUUAGUUUUUCUUUGCUUUCUGCCAUAAGGGUGGUGUCAUCUGCAUAUCUGAGGUUAUUGAUAUUUCUCCCGGCAAUCUUGAUUCCAGCUUCUGCUUCUUCCAGCCCAGCAUUUCUCAUGAUGUGACUUUAGCAAGAAUUGUGUACAUUUCAGGAUUGAUUAUGAUUAAAUAUAAGUUAAUUAAGUAAAUAACUUUUAUUAUUAAUAGUAAGCUGCAACAAUUCUGGAAUUUGGUUUUCUCUCUCUGUUAACAGAACAAACUUUUUCUGGAAUAUGAGCUGCCUUGGAGAACAGAUGGUAAGUCUCUUUCUUAGCUAACUCCGAGUGUUCCAGAGGAACUGUGAGGCAUCUCAGAGGGGAAUAUUAGAUUAACUAGCAUCACUGGUAUGUUAAACACCAUGGGGAGCAUUAUCAAGUGAAUGAGAAGCCUUCUCAGGUUAUACUGGGGUGGAUAUUAUUAAUAGAGAUUUGCCACACACACACAAAAAAAUGGAAUUCCUACGAACCUGGUAGGUCCCAAUGUCAUAAUUAGGACAUACCAGGGCAUACCAAGUUCUGCUACCAAGUCCUGCUACCAAGUCAUAAUUCUGGUUAUUGUAACCAAGUUUCUUAACCCAUUACAUUGUGCUCAGUUGUGUCACCAUAUCUUUCAGUCUUUAAGUCAGUCACACAUAGUUAUUGUACUUGGAUGGUUUUGCAAAAGGUCUUCAUCUCCAAGAAGAUUCAUAGCAGAGACCAUUUUGAUGAGCACUGAUGUCUGAUCAGUUUCACACUAUACCAGGCAACUAAGUGGAUAAGAUAUUUUAAAAUCCCAAUUAAAAAACCCUGCUGGUAUUAUAAAAGUGUUUAACAAAAGAUGAAAUACUGAGUCAACUUGUAAAUAUAGUUUUAAAGUUUAUGGGGGUUUUUUUGCUCUGAAAUAUUAUUGAUCUGUUGGCUUUCUAGAUAAAGCCCAGCCCUUCCCCUCAAGCUACUAAUGAUUGACAGCAAUUGAAUAAAUGCCC
RNAcentral lists this long non-coding RNA (1289 nucleotides) under Bos indicus x Bos taurus (hybrid cattle). RNAcentral describes it as "lncRNA (ENSBIXG00000016858.1)". Lineage: Eukaryota; Metazoa; Chordata; Mammalia; Artiodactyla; Bovidae. The record is from RNAcentral.